Molecule: ribosomal RNA, 466 nt
Filed under: uncultured bacterium
Lineage: Bacteria
Description: partial 16S ribosomal RNA
Rfam family: Bacterial small subunit ribosomal RNA
Source: RNAcentral
UCCUCCCCCUUUCUUCGUGCUUAACACAUGCAAGUCGAACGGAAAGGCCCUGCUUGCAGGGUACUCGAGUGGCGAACGGGUGAGUAACACGUGGGUGAUCUGCCCUGCACUUCGGGAUAAGCUUGGGAAACUGGGUCUAAUACCGGAUAGGAACCAUCUUUAGUGUGGUGGUUGGAAAGUUUUUUCGGUGUAGGAUGAGCUCGCGGCCUAUCAGCUUGUUGGUGGGGUAAUGGCCUACCAAGGCGGCGACGGGUAGCCGGCCUGAGAGGGUGUACGGCCACAUUGGGACUGAGAUACGGCCCAGACUCCUACGGGAGGCAGCAGUGGGGAAUAUUGCACAAUGGGCGCAAGCCUGAUGCAGCGACGCCGCGUGGGGGAUGAAGGCCUUCGGGUUGUAAACUCCUUUCGCUAGGGACGAAGCUUUGUUGUGACGGUACCUAGAUAAGAAGCACCGGCUAACUACGUG